This 428-nucleotide ribosomal RNA is filed under the name uncultured bacterium. RNAcentral describes it as "bacterial SSU rRNA". It matches the Rfam family "Bacterial small subunit ribosomal RNA", at positions 355 to 776 of the family's 1533-position model. The record is from RNAcentral.
UCGAGAAUUUUUCACAAUGGGCGAAAGCCUGAUGGAGCGACGCCGCGUGGGGGAUGAAGGGCUUCGGCCCGUAAACCCCUGUCAUUUGCGAACAAACCUUUUCAUUGAACAGGUGAAAAGCUGAUUGUAGCGAAAGAGGAAGGGACGGCUAACUCUGUGCCAGCAGCCGCGGUAAUACAGAGGUCCCAAGCGUUGUUCGGAUUCACUGGGCGUAAAGGGUGCGUAGGUGGUGGGGUAAGUUUGAUGUGAAAUCUCCGAGCUUAACUCGGAAAUGGCAUUGAAUACUACUCUGCUAGAGGAUCGGAGGGGAGACUGGAAUUUUCGGUGUAGCAGUGAAAUGCGUGGAUAUCGAAAGGAACACCAGUGGCGAAAGCGAGUCUCUGGACGACUCCUGACACUGAGGCACGAAAGCUAGGGGAGCAAACAGG